GCUCCGCGCUCUUUCUGUCGGCCGGGAAAAUGCAGCCCGAGGUGGCAGAGAGGUGGAAGGAGGACUGAGGCCGAGGCUCCGGUCUCCCUCUGUCCGCCUCACCCUGGGGCCGCCGAGCCCUGUCCAAGAGAAGGGAACCGGGAGUUAGGACUGGACACGUGGGGUGGUGACUCCCUGUCAGAAUCUGUCUGCUUUUGUUCACUCUCCAAUGCCUUCGGAGAGUUGUUCUUCGGUGUAUUUUCAUCCAGAGUUUAUAUCCAGUCCAGCAUAGUGGCUUACUAGGACACACCAUGAUACAGUGAGUAGGUGGCUGUCUACAAGCCAGGAAAAGAGCUCUCAGUGGAAACAGAAUUGGCUGGCAUCUUGAUCUUGGACUUCUUAGCCUCUAGAAAUUAUAUUCUUUGGAAAGAAGUCCACACAUUGUCUCUUGACUCAUAUUGUUGCUGACAUCUCGCUACUCCAGGAUCCCAUCGUGUGCAUUGAGAUCAGGGAACCUAUCUUAACAGAUGCCUACCACAGCAUGGCUUUUGCCAAGAGGUGCCAUGUCUGCACCCGGGAUCCGAACCAGCGACCCCCAGGCGGCCAAGAAGCGAAAUGUGCAAACUUAACUGCUGCACCACCGGGCUGGCCCCCUCAUUUCUUUAUAGCCAUUACUCCACCAAGAGUUAUCACUGCACUGACUUCUAACAGCGUGGAUAUUUGGGUAGUUUCCAGUUUAGGGCUAUUACAAGGU
This 733-nucleotide long non-coding RNA is filed under the name Equus asinus (donkey). RNAcentral's name for it is "lncRNA (ENSEASG00005030957.1)". The record is from RNAcentral. Lineage: Eukaryota; Metazoa; Chordata; Mammalia; Perissodactyla; Equidae.